GGAAAUCUUCCCAGUGAAGAGGUGUCCCAUUCCGUGAACAGACGCAUCACCUGCACAACAUGGCCUGGGGGUUACAAAUCUUUCUAACAAUUGCAAUGCUUAGAGGCAUCCAGAUGCAAGUUCAGCUGGUGGAAUCAGGAGGAGAGAUCAAGAGACCUGGAGAAUCGCUGCGCCUUUCCUGUAAAGGCUCCGGGUACGAUUUUGGAAACUUUCAGAUGUGCUGGAUCCGACAGGCUCCCCAGAAAGGGCUGGAGUGGAUUGCCUUCAUCGAUGUCACUACUAUACGCUAUGCAAACUCAGUAGAGGGCCGAUUCACCAUCUCCAGGGACAAUUCCAUCAGCACGGUCUACUUGCAAAUGAGCAGUCUGAGAGAGGAAGACACGGCCCUCUACUAUCUGUGCCAGAUGUACACAGUGAGGGGAAAGCUAUCCAUGGAUUGA
This is a non-coding RNA of Heteronotia binoei (common prickly gecko), 440 nucleotides long. The record is from the annotation of a RefSeq genome assembly. NCBI's taxonomy places the organism in Eukaryota, Metazoa, Chordata, Lepidosauria, Squamata, Gekkonidae.